AUUGAACGCUGGCGGCAUGCCUAACACAUGCAAGUCGAGCGGACACACGAGGAGCUCUCUCCCCUGACGUUGGCGACGGACGGGUGAGUAACACGUAUAUAACCUACCUAUAAGACUGGGGUAACGACGGGGGACCGGAUCCAAUACCCGCUAAUAUGUUGAACCGCAUGGAUCAAUAGUGCUAGCCGGUUUUGCUGACACUUAUAGAUGGUUCCAGGUCGGAUUAGCUAGUUGGUAAGGUAACGGCCUACCAAGGCGACGAUGCGUAGCCGAUCUGAGAGGAUGAUCAGCCACACUGGAACUGAGACACGGUCCAGACUCCUACGGGAGGCAGCAGUGGGGAAUAUUGGACAAUGGGCGAAAGCCUGAUGCAGCCACGCCGCGUGUGUGAUGAAGGUCUUCGGAUUGUAAAGCUCUUUUAGUAGGGAGGAAGAAAAGUAUGUUAAUACCUGGCUGUCUUGACGGUACCUAAAGAAUAAGCACCGGCUAACUUCGUG
This 497-nucleotide ribosomal RNA is filed under the name uncultured bacterium. RNAcentral's name for it is "partial 16S ribosomal RNA". It matches the Rfam family "Bacterial small subunit ribosomal RNA", at positions 30 to 507 of the family's 1533-position model. The record is from RNAcentral.